This 468-nucleotide ribosomal RNA is filed under the name uncultured bacterium. Its description in RNAcentral is "partial 16S ribosomal RNA". It matches the Rfam family "Bacterial small subunit ribosomal RNA", at positions 28 to 507 of the family's 1533-position model. The record is from RNAcentral.
GACGAACGCUGGCGGCGUGCUUAACACAUGCAAGUCGAACGGAAAGGCCCUGCUUUUGUGGGGUGCUCGAGUGGCGAACGGGUGAGUAACACGUGAGUAACCUGCCCUUGACUUUGGGAUAACUUCAGGAAACUGGGGCUAAUACCGGAUAGGAGCUCCUGCUGCAUGGGGGGGGUUGGAAAGUUUCGGCGGUUGGGGAUGGACUCGCGGCUUAUCAGCUUGUUGGUGGGGUAGUGGCUUACCAAGGCUUUGACGGGUAGCCGGUCUGAGAGGGUGACCGGCCACAUUGGGACUGAGAUACGGCCCAGACUCCUACGGGAGGCAGCAGUGGGGAAUAUUGCACAAUGGGCGGAAGCCUGAUGCAGCAACGCCGCGUGCGGGAUGACGGCCUUCGGGUUGUAAACCGCUUUCGCCUGUGACGAAGCGUGAGUGACGGUAAUGGGUAAAGAAGCACCGGCUAACUACGUG